CAGCAGCCGCGGUAAUACGAAGGGUGCAAGCGUUAACCGGAAUUAUUGGGCGUAAAGGGCUCGCAGGCGGUUUCUUAAGUCUGAUGUGAAAGCCCCCGGCUCGACCGGGGAGGGUCAUUGGAAACUGGGAAACUUGAGUGCAGAAGAGGAGAGUGGAAUUCCACGUGUAGCGGCGAAAUGCGUAGAGAUGUGGAGGAACACCAGUGGCGAAGGCGACUCCCUGGUCUGUAACUGACGCUGAGGCGCGAAAGCGUGGGGAGCAAACAGGAUUAGAUACCCCCGUAGUCCCUGUCUCUUAUAC
This 301-nucleotide ribosomal RNA is filed under the name uncultured bacterium. RNAcentral's name for it is "partial 16S ribosomal RNA". It matches the Rfam family "Bacterial small subunit ribosomal RNA", at positions 509 to 807 of the family's 1533-position model. The record is from RNAcentral.